CCUAGAGUUGUAGGCUUUGCCUGCUAUCUCUUACCCAUGUCUUUUAGAGUACCUUCGUUUCCUCGGCGGGUCCGCCCGCCGAUUGGACAAUUUAAACCAUUUGCAGUUGCAAUCAGCGUCUGAAAAAACUUAAUAGUUA
This 139-nucleotide unclassified non-coding RNA is filed under the name soil metagenome. RNAcentral's name for it is "partial internal transcribed spacer 1". The record is from RNAcentral.